Molecule: non-coding RNA, 238 nt
Organism: Musa acuminata subsp. malaccensis (wild Malaysian banana)
Lineage: Eukaryota; Viridiplantae; Streptophyta; Magnoliopsida; Zingiberales; Musaceae
Source: RefSeq, a predicted model, not a curated record
CAUAAGACCAUGUACUUUGAAUUAUGAGAUAUCGUAGUCAGACUGCUCGCCAUAAGAUUGGUAUGGAAUGUACGAUUACCAUUUCUAUUAUUGAUGGCCACACGAAUGUGCAGCAGUCGGUUGGUCCUCUUGAGACAUGCUUUUCAUUUUGUUAGGUUUGAAUUCUUUCUGGUUGUUAUAGGUUUUCCUGUUGACAGUACUCUGUGAAUAUAUAAUCAUCAACCAAAUCUUCAGGAAA